AGAGUUUGAUCAUGGCUCAGAGCGAACGCUGGCGGCAGGCCUAACACAUGCAAGUCGAACGCUCCGCAAGGGGAGUGGCAGACGGGUGAGUAACACGUGGGAAUCUUCCUAUUGGUAUGGAAUAGCUCAGGGAAACUUGGGGUAAUACCGUAUAAGCCCGAGAGGGGAAAGAUUUAUCGCCAAUAGAUGAGCCCGCGUCUGAUUAGCUAGUUGGUGAGGUAAUGGCUCACCAAGGCGACGAUCAGUAGCUGGUCUGAGAGGAUGAUCAGCCACACUGGGACUGAGAUACGGCCCAGACUCCUACGGGAGGCAGCAGUGGGGAAUAUUGGACAAUGGGCGCAAGCCUGAUCCAGCCAUGCCGCGUGAGUGACGAAGGUCUUCGGAUUGUAAAGCUCUUUUGGCGGGGACGAUAAUGACGGUACCCGCAGAAUAAGCCCCGGCUAACUUCGUGCCAGCAGCCGCGGUAAUACGAAGGGGGCUAGCGUUGUUCGGAAUCACUGGGCGUAAAGCGCACGUAGGCGGAUUUGUUAGUCAGGGGUGAAAUCCCGGGGCUCAACCUCGGAACUGCCUCUGAUACUGCAGAUCUCGAGUCCGAUAGAGGUGAGUGGAAUUCCGAGUGUAGAGGUGAAAUUCGUAGAUAUUCGGAGGAACACCAGUGGCGAAGGCGGCUCACUGGACCGUUGCUGACGCUGAGGCGCGAAAGCGUGGGGAGCAAACAGGAUUAGAUACCCCGGUAGUCC
RNAcentral lists this ribosomal RNA (740 nucleotides) under uncultured bacterium. RNAcentral describes it as "bacterial SSU rRNA". It matches the Rfam family "Bacterial small subunit ribosomal RNA", at positions 8 to 796 of the family's 1533-position model. The record is from RNAcentral.